This 1096-nucleotide long non-coding RNA is filed under the name Cicer arietinum (chickpea). Its description in RNAcentral is "long non-coding RNA (CARI_LNC001264)". The record is from RNAcentral. Lineage: Eukaryota; Viridiplantae; Streptophyta; Magnoliopsida; Fabales; Fabaceae.
GUAGAUUUCAGUUGGCUAACAAAACGUUGAAUACACAACAAGUGAGUCAAACUAUAUGACAAUAUACUAUACUCGAACUACAAAAUAAUGCAGUAAACCACAGUAAUAUAGCAAAACUAUGUCUACCACAUAGCUAAAAGGCAUAACUAUAAAAUCAAAAAUAGAGUUUAAUAUUAUUGACAAUAAUAAAGCUAGAGUUUUUUAAUACAAAAUUUAAUAUUGUUUACAAUAAAACAAAAUCAAAAAGACAAUUUUUGUAUAGAAUACUACUAAUACAUGAAAAAGAGAAAAUUGAUCUCAAUGUUUAAAUAUAGCUAAAAACAAAUAAUUAAACCAUAAAAUCACAUACCUAGCACAACACUGUGUAUCUUGUUUUGUACGUGAAGAGGGAGCUAACGCAAAAUCACCUCCACGUUUACUCGUCAUUGGAAACAUGAAAUCAAAAAUAAAAAUUGAAUGAAAAACCAUUUAGAAAAAUACAAUGAGAAAUUUAAUGAAGAUGAAAAGAAACAAGAUGAAUCGUAAAGAGGAGAAUAACAAGAUGGAAUAAAAUUAGGAUUAGGCUUCAAUCCGCAUGCAUUUGACUUUUCAAGGAUUUAUGUUUAUGAAAUCUUGUUCUUGAGCUCUCACAUGAUUAGGAAUUAGAAUAGCAAUGUCUCUUUGUAUUUUAUAAUUAAAUUAUGUAAUAAAAUAUGAAAUCUACUUUACAAAUUUAAAAUAAUAAUAAAAUAUAAUUAAUCGACAUAGAAUUUUUCACAUUAUCCGUUUUUUGACACAUCACAAAAAAAAUGAUAUUUCAUAAUAUUUAAAACGUAUGACAAAUAAAAUAAAAUACUAUUUUUACAAUUAAGUUACAAUUAAAUUAAAAUUUUAUAAAAAUUAAAAACAUUUAUAACCUAACAAGAAAUUAUUUUUUUGAACGUAAGAAAAUAUUAAAGCAUAGAAAUAAGACCAAAAGAAGAAAGUAGAGCAAGAUUUAAUGGCAACAAUACCUUUGGCCAAUUACUUAUAAUCAUCUUAUUAUGGAUGUUGAAACUAAACUCACUCUUCUUCAGUUGAAUUGAACGUAGAAUCAUUUCUGAUAGAAUCGUUAAAC